Molecule: non-coding RNA, 29 nt
Filed under: Mus musculus (house mouse)
Lineage: Eukaryota; Metazoa; Chordata; Mammalia; Rodentia; Muridae
Source: RNAcentral
UACUUUGAAAGCUACUUUCUUGAGUUCCA